RNAcentral lists this ribosomal RNA (948 nucleotides) under Triticum aestivum (bread wheat). RNAcentral describes it as "partial small subunit ribosomal RNA". Lineage: Eukaryota; Viridiplantae; Streptophyta; Magnoliopsida; Poales; Poaceae. The record is from RNAcentral.
AUGGCGCAGGGGCAGGGGGCGGCGACGUCGCUGCCGGCGGGGUUCCGGUUCCACCCGACGGACGAGGAGCUCAUCCUGCACUACCUCCGCAACCGCGCCGCCGCCGCGCCGUGCCCCGUCCCCAUCAUCGCCGACGUCGACAUCUACAAGUUCGAUCCAUGGGACCUCCCCUCCCAGGCGGUGUACGGCGACUGUGAGUGGUACUUCUUCAGCCCGCGGGACCGUAAGGCGUCGGCCGUCAAGAAGGCGCUCGUCUUCUACACGGGCCGCCCGCCCAAGGGCACCAAGACGGCCUGGAUCAUGCACGAGUACCGCCUCGCCGCCGACCCCCUCGCCGCCGCCGUCAACACCUACAAGCCCAUCAAGUUCCGCAACGUCUCCAUGAGGCUGGAUGACUGGGUGCUGUGCCGGAUUUACAAGAAGACAGGCCUCGCGUCGCCGAUGGUGCCGCCGCUCGCCGACUACGACCACAUGGCCGACCACGACGACCUCUCCAGCGGCGGCGCCUUCACCAACGCCACCUGCAGACCCAUGAUAAGGCAGCAGCACCACCAGCAGUCUCUCGCCGGGAGGCUCCCGACGUUCCCGUCCUUCUCCGAGCUGUUCGACGACUACCAGUUCGCGCAGAUCUUGGACAUCGACGUCGAGCACGGCGCCACCCACCACCUCGCCGUCCAUCCCGCCCUGAACCAGCUCCUCCCCGUCGGCGACAGCAGGCACGUAGUGGAGCCGUCGUACUACGCGCCGUCGUCCUCGUCGCCGGACGCCAGCGGCGGGAGCUCGGGGAAACGCAAGGCGGCGAGCCCGGAAGAACGCGCCACGCACCAGCCGCCGGCCAAGAAGCUCAACGGGUCGUGCUUCGACGCGCCGCCGCAGUCGGCGAAUGGCUGGCAGGCCGUGGCGUCCGUGCUGGGCGGCCUCAACGAUCACAUGCUUCCUCAGUUCUAA